This 426-nucleotide long non-coding RNA is filed under the name Triticum aestivum (bread wheat). Its description in RNAcentral is "long non-coding RNA (TAES_LNC011643)". Lineage: Eukaryota; Viridiplantae; Streptophyta; Magnoliopsida; Poales; Poaceae. The record is from RNAcentral.
AAAUGCGCUAACCUUUGGCCAUUGCCAUGCUUUAUAAUGGGCUUCAGAGGUCAUCUACACAAAGCAAGCACCUCCAAAACAUCAGUGGUAGGUUCGCGGAGGAAAAUAGAAACAGUCUGAAGUCCAUAGUCAACAAUACAAACCAUCUUCCAAGAUCGUACAAAGGAAGCCACUCCACUACAAGCUUUCUUUCCAUAGCUACGGAUGUGUGUAGAAGAGCCUGGAACAGGGGUCAAACAAGAUAAAUUAGCCAACCAUACAGUUCCAAGGUAGCAUCAGGAUUAGUAUUGAUAACUAAUCGGGUAAUCAUCCAAGAGCGCAAUGAACUAAGAGGAGAUUUACCAGAUUUGAGUGUCGGGGAGCGGAGAGGUGGAAGAGGGAGUUGGAGCCGAGCCGUGCCAGUCGGGAUCUUGAUCCAACUCCGGC